Molecule: unclassified non-coding RNA, 217 nt
Filed under: Glomus sp.
Lineage: Eukaryota; Fungi; Glomeromycota; Glomeromycetes; Glomerales; Glomeraceae
Description: partial internal transcribed spacer 2
Source: RNAcentral
GUGAAUCAUCGAAUUUUUGAACGCAAAUUGCACUCUCUUGGAAGAGAAUGCGUAUUUGAGGGUGAGCCUAAAAAAAAUCGUCAUAGUCGCUGUUUCGCGGUGACUUUCGUCGGAAAUUGGGUCAUCUUAAACCUUUGGGUUUUAAGCGGCUUACAAUUUUCUUUAGGAUUCCACCAACGAUUCUAAGAUUUACUUCUUACACGUUUAAGGUAAACGA